Felis catus (domestic cat) is the source of this 1580-nucleotide long non-coding RNA. RefSeq lists it as uncharacterized. The transcript has 2 exons. Lineage: Eukaryota; Metazoa; Chordata; Mammalia; Carnivora; Felidae. The record is from RefSeq and is a predicted model, not a curated record.
CCCUCUGGGAGGAAGGAGCCAGGCCGGGGUCUUCGGAGCUCCGAGCCCAGGCCAUUUCACGCCCCCGCGGGCAGUGCCCCGUGUUGGCGGCGGGAGGUCCGGCUGGCACGUGUCUCUCCGCGGAGGGCCAGCACCGGUUUGGCUGGUAGUUCUAGAAGCACCCAUGUGAGCGCCGGCCACCGACAGAGCUCCCGGAAGCGGAAGCCGGAAGCCCCGCCCCCCGAAUCACACCCACCUGGGCUCUGGGUCUGACCCUCCCCUUAGAAGCGAUUCUGCCUCAAGGCGAUUCACGCAGCCUCGCAGGAGACUUUGUUUCCUUAUCUGGGAAACACAGGGAUGCAAACAGAGUCUCUCCCUCAUGGGGUUGUUGUGGGGACACCUGGGGCCUUGUGCGGCUCCACACAAGGCCUGGCAUGUGUUAGACUCUCAAACAGAAGUAGCAACUAUUACUCCUUACAGUAACUUUGAGGUUGGCAUUAAUAGGCCCAUUUGACAGGUGGAGAAACUGAGCCUGUGUGUAUUUUGGGCUUCUGUCAGCUGCAGACUGUCCAACAUUUCCUACUCUACAGCUCCUGAGACCCCAUCAGGGCCCCCUCAGGGGCCGUGGCCAGGACCAAGCUGAAUUUCCCCAGCUGUGAAGAAUGCACAGGCUGUCCCCUUUCCCCCAGGCUGCCAGGCACCUGUUAACCCCCCCAAGAACACCGUGGAUUCUCCCAUUCCCAUUUUCCCUUAGCUCAUGCGGUCACCUCUUCCCGGAGUGCCUUUCCUCUCCUCUGUUCCUUUUCAAAUGUGUCCCCUUUCUAGGCCCACGCCAGACCUCCUUCCUCCAUGGAACCUUCCCUGACCCGUCCACCCCAUAAUGAUUCUCCCAUCCUUUGGCCUUUGGGGGGAAGGAUGAGGUUGAAACGGACAUUUGUGAGCCCCUUCCGUGUGCCCACUGUCUCCUUACACAUACCAUCCCUCAUGAUCAAGGUUUGCUUUUUCCCAGAAGAGGAAACCGGCUGGGAGAGGCUCACGUGGCCAGGAAGACGUGGGGAGAGUCCUCCUGAUCCAACAUGCAGAGGGUGCCAGGGAGGUGCCUCACCUGUGAGUCCAUCCCAUCACCCCAACGACUGCGGGGACCCCUCUGGACAGGCCUGACUCACCUGUGGCUCCAAAAGCACUCCUUCCCCACUGUCGUCGCCCUAGCACCAUAUUAGUGCAUUUGUGGCAACGGAUGAGCCCACGCCGACCCAUCAUCAUCCCCCAGAGCCCGCGCUUUCCAUCAAGGUGCCCUACGGUGUGGUGCGGUCUGCGGUUUCGACAAAUGGAGACGGCUAUGGAUCUACCUUUUUGGCGUCACUCGGAGCGUGUCACUGCCCUAAAAAUCCUCUGUGCCCCACCGAUUCAUCCCUCCUGCCCUCCCUGUCUCCUCCUGGCCCCAUAGCUCCUUUCCUUUCAGUGCCGGCUGACCGUCCACAGUCUGGCUGGGCCAUGGGUUCAUCCAUUCACCUGCCGAAGAAGAUCCGCGGCGCUUCCGGGUUUUGGCAAUGGUGAAUAAAGCCGCUACAAGCUGUGUGUGUGCGCACACAAGGUUUCUG